AUUGAACGCUGGCGGCAUGCCUUACACAUGCAAGUCGAACGGCAGCGGACCUUCGGGUGCCGGCGAGUGGCGAACGGGUGAGUAAUAUAUCGGAACGUACCUUUCAGUGGGGGAUAACGUAGCGAAAGUUACGCUAAUACCGCAUAUUCUGUGAGCAGGAAAGCAGGGGAUCGCAAGACCUUGCGCUGAUUGAGCGGCCGAUAUCAGAUUAGCUAGUUGGUGAGGUAAAGGCUCACCAAGGCGACGAUCUGUAGCGGGUCUGAGAGGAUGAUCCACCACACUGGAACUGAGACACGGUCCAGACUCCUACGGGAGGCAGCAGUGGGGAAUUUUGGACAAUGGGCGAAAGCCUGAUGCAGCAAUGCCGCGUGUGUGAAGAAGGCCUGCGGGUUGUAAAGCACUUUCAGUAGGGAGGAAACGAGUAGCCGGUUAAU
This 434-nucleotide ribosomal RNA is filed under the name uncultured bacterium. Its description in RNAcentral is "bacterial SSU rRNA". It matches the Rfam family "Bacterial small subunit ribosomal RNA", at positions 30 to 466 of the family's 1533-position model. The record is from RNAcentral.